RNAcentral lists this long non-coding RNA (260 nucleotides) under Ananas comosus (pineapple). RNAcentral describes it as "long non-coding RNA (ACOM_LNC026236)". The record is from RNAcentral. Lineage: Eukaryota; Viridiplantae; Streptophyta; Magnoliopsida; Poales; Bromeliaceae.
AGAUAUUCUGUUGGAGACAGAGUAAAAGGUUAGAAUUGUACGACGAUAUCUACUGACCACGCAGAGUCGACAGAGCAGUUAUAUUGAUAUUUGGCGAUGAGACUUGGAAUUUCAGGCUAGUGACUAUAUAUUUUUGAAAGUCUUACCAUCUAAAGGGAUUCGCGGAUUCGGAGUUUGUGGAAACUUAUUUUGUGGUAUAUUAAUUCCUUCGGGGUAUUGGAAUGAGUUGGACUGGUGGCAUACGUGGUUACGUUACCGCC